UCAUCGGUAGUGUCUGAGAGGAUGAUCAGCACCCGGGCUGAGCACGCCCGGCUCCUCGGGAGCAGCAGUGGGAAUUGGACAAUGGGGCACCCUGACCAGCGAUCCGCGUGUGUGAAGAAGGCUUCGGGUUGUAAAGCCUUUCGCGGGGGAAGAAAUUCGCGCUCUAACAUAGCGCGGCACUGACGGUACCCCGAGAAGAAGNCCGGCUACUCCGUGCCAGCAGCCGCGGUAAUACGGAGGGCGCAAGCGUUAAUCGGAGUGACUGGGCGUAAGGCGUGCGCAGGCGGCCGCGGAAGUCGGAUGUGAAAGCCCCGGGCUCAACCCGGGAACUGCGUUCGAAACUCCGCGGCUCGAGUCCGGCAGAGGAAGGUGGAAUUCCGCGUGUAGCGGUGAAAUGCGUAGAGAUGCGGAAGAACACUAAUGGCGAAGGCAUCCUUCUGGGCCGGCACUGACGCUGAGGCACGAAAGCGUGGGUAGCAAACAGGAUUAGAUACCCUGGUAGUC
This 504-nucleotide ribosomal RNA is filed under the name uncultured bacterium. Its description in RNAcentral is "bacterial SSU rRNA". It matches the Rfam family "Bacterial small subunit ribosomal RNA", at positions 277 to 795 of the family's 1533-position model. The record is from RNAcentral.